AACUUACUCCCUCCGUCCUAAACUGUAAGUCAUUUCAAAAAUUUUGGAAAGUCAAAGCAUCUUAAGUUUGAUUAAAAUUAUAGAGAAAAAUAUAAAGAUUUAUAACAUCAAAUAAAUAUACUAUGAAAAUAUAAUUAAUAAAAAUCUAAUGAUACUUAGCUAACAUCAUAAAUGUUAUUAUAUUAUCAUAUAAAUUUGGUCAAACUUAAGAUACUUUAACUUUUCAAGAUUCUUAGAAUGACUUACAAUGUGGAACGGAGGGAGCAGAUAUUAUUUGUUAAAUGGAUCAUCACAUGACAUAUCGUGGCGCCGACUUGCUUACUAGCCGCACCGCGCUAGAGUCGUUCGACCGUCUCUUCCCGGUGCUUACGCGAGGACUUGCUCCGGCACGCCGCCACCGGCGCUCCCCGUCCUCGGGGCCGCAGGGAUCCCGACCGUGGUGCAGGAUGUCACCGUGCCUCUCCUCAGGCCACGACCCGCCGCCACUUCUUGCCGCGGGGAAGCCGGCUGAGGCACGAUGCGCCGCCCCCAUAGCCACCAUGGCGUCCCAUGCCCCGGGCCGCAGUCUGCGUCGCUCGCUCGGAGCCUUCCGUGUCCGGCCGACAGCUUGAAGCGAGGAGCUCGGCGGCGGCGGCACCAGCCCACAACUCCCGUGCGGGGACCUCGCUGUUUUCCGCCAGCUCGACGUGGGGACCUCGUCGGCCCGGCAGCUCCCUACGCCCCCGUUCGGCUAUGAACAGCGACAGGCAUCCACACCGCCUCGAGACCCACGAGGCCGCGCGGCUUCUGCGCCCUCCUCGCCGUGUUGGGAGGCCGCGCGCCUUCCUCGCCGUGUAGGGAGGAAGGCCGUCGGAUCUGAACGCCUCCGCGCCGCGCUGCGCUUGGCGGCUGCGGCUUCUCCCGCGUGCCACAGCCGUCGCGCGCACCGUCGUCGAGCUGCCCCGCCACCAGAUCUGCGGCAAGCCCCGGCCCUGAGUUGCGUCGAACUAGGCGGCGCCAUCCCUCGGGCAUGGUUAUUCGGUCAUCAAACCGGUUCAAUGGUUUAUUGGUUCAACUGCUAAGAACCGGUUGAACCGCCGGUUCAAUAUUUGUAGACCGGGUGAGUGAACCGUCUUAGACACUAAGAACCGGGGUACAUAGAGAGAGAUUUGACAAUUGGCAAUAAUAUAAAUUAGUCACAUGUAAAACAAGAUUAAU
RNAcentral lists this long non-coding RNA (1197 nucleotides) under Setaria italica (foxtail millet). Its description in RNAcentral is "long non-coding RNA (SITA_LNC001793)". Lineage: Eukaryota; Viridiplantae; Streptophyta; Magnoliopsida; Poales; Poaceae. The record is from RNAcentral.